RNAcentral lists this long non-coding RNA (703 nucleotides) under Zostera marina. RNAcentral's name for it is "long non-coding RNA (ZMAR_LNC000757)". The record is from RNAcentral. Lineage: Eukaryota; Viridiplantae; Streptophyta; Magnoliopsida; Alismatales; Zosteraceae.
CUUUUUUUUUUUUUAAGGCGAUUUUGAUUAAACAGAAAAUUAAAAGAUUACAAGCCAAUUAACUAAACAACUAAAAGUAGAUAAGAUAUAUGGAAUAGAUGUGGCGUGCUAAUCCUCGGCUUGAAGGUCAAAAACCAAUAGCGAGGUUUCCUCCUAUCUUCUGGUAGUUGUAUCUGUCGCUCGUCGGAUGUGGAAAACUGUUGCUCGCGAAAUGAUCUCAUUCGCGGUCACUGGAAGGCGUGGAGCCGAGGUCUCACUCGAGGUCCUUCGAUCAAGUUAAAAAAGAGGUUAGGGAGUAGAUUUGAACUGGAAGCUAGGCGUGGAGUGCUGCUGAUCUGAGGUGACCUCGCUCGCUCCCCAUUUCUCGCUCUCGCAUGCUCGCUCUCUUCCAAUCCCUCUUUCUCGGUCGAUCGCCGCCCUAUCGCCGCCAGGGCUCGCUCGCGGUCAGUGGCCGGACUUCAACUCGCGCGUUGGCAUGGCUCGCUCACUCGCUGGCACCGGACUUCUUUUCGGUCGAAUCGCCGACCGGGCUCGCUCGCGCUUGCUGACAUGCCUUCGCUCGCGGUUAGGCAGCUUUCCCUUCGACUUGCGAUCAGACGGAUGCUUCUACUUCGCGCAAUUCACUCGCUGAUUGCGUUAGCUCGCUCGUUCGCUGGAGGGCGAACGAGCGACCUUCUCUUCGCUAGGGAUUUGCCUGCAAGGG